CUGCUAGAGCGUUCAGAGAAAGAAUCCAAGGAAAGUGGUGGCGGGGCUGGGAUACAGGAGAGAUGGGGCAGGCUGCUGUCUCAUCAGCUCUGCUCCAGUUUGAGGAGUGAAAUGCUGUAAUUGUAUAUUUGGAUGCUUCCACAGGCACAUGAGAUUAAAUUCCUUGGCAGACCACUGUUCCGAUCAACAGGGACAUGUCCCCGAGGUACUCCUGCCUGUGGUCCCUGGCUGCCAAUUGGUCAUUCCCGUAUCCUGGACUGCCUUCCUCCUCCCUGCUGCCCACAGCCUAUCAGCUCACCCACGCUGGGCCCUAUAGGCAUGGGGAGGCAGGUUUUCUGAAGAUCGUGGAAACACCUUUGGCCAAGAGACCGGGCUCAGGCAAGAUUUGGAGUCCAGGAGAGAGCCAGCAGCCAGGGUGGAAAAGUCAGUGAAUAAUACUUGGGAGAUCGACCCAUCCGGGCUGCUGGGAAUACCUGGGGAAAAGAUAAAUCUGACUCCAGAACCUAUCACCUGGAUGGACCUGCCUUCGGUGCACACCAGCCCCCUACUGCCCCAAAAGUCUCUCCCUUGUGCGU
RNAcentral lists this long non-coding RNA (575 nucleotides) under Felis catus (domestic cat). RNAcentral describes it as "lncRNA (ENSFCAG00000042204.2)". Lineage: Eukaryota; Metazoa; Chordata; Mammalia; Carnivora; Felidae. The record is from RNAcentral.